This 229-nucleotide ribosomal RNA is filed under the name uncultured Nitzschia. Its description in RNAcentral is "partial Bacterial large subunit ribosomal RNA". It matches the Rfam family "Bacterial large subunit ribosomal RNA", at positions 2588 to 2816 of the family's 2925-position model. The record is from RNAcentral. Lineage: Eukaryota; Bacillariophyta; Bacillariophyceae; Bacillariales; Bacillariaceae.
UUAAAGAGGUACGCGAGCUGGGUUUAGAACGUCGUGAGACAGUUCGGUCCCUAUCUACCGUGGGCGUUGGAAAUUUGAGAGGAUCUGCUCCUAGUACGAGAGGACCAGAGUGGACGAACCUCUGGUGUUUCGGUUGUGACGCCAGUCGCAUUGCCGAGUUGCUAUGUUCGGAUGGGAUAACCGCUGAAAGCAUCUAACCGGGAAGCCCACCUCAAGAUAAGAUUUCUCU